ACUCAAAUGAAUUGACGGGGGCCCGCACAAGCGGUGGAGCAUGUGGUUUAAUUCGACGCAACGCGAAGAACCUUACCGGGGCUUGACAUCAGAUGAUCAUCCUAGAAAUAGGGUUUCCGGGCAACCGGACAUCUAGACAGGUGCUGCAUGGCUGUCGUCAGCUCGUGCCGUGAGGUGUUGGGUUAAGUCCCGCAACGAGCGCAACCCUCGUCGUGUGUUGGUCGGUAACGAUCUCUCACGCGAGACCGCCGGUGAGAAGCCGGAGGAAGGUGGGGAUGACGUCAAGUCAGCAUGGCCCUUACGUCCCGGGCUACACACGUGCUACAAUGCGCCGGACAACGGGUAGCGAACUCGCGAGGGUAAGCCAAUCCCUUAAACCGGCGCUCAGUUCGGAUUGAAGGCUGCAACUCGCCUUCAUGAAGUCGGAAUCGCUAGUAAACGCAGAUCAGCUACGCUGCGUUGAAUACGUUCCCGGGCCUUGUACACACCGCCCGU
This 495-nucleotide ribosomal RNA is filed under the name uncultured bacterium. RNAcentral's name for it is "partial 16S ribosomal RNA". It matches the Rfam family "Bacterial small subunit ribosomal RNA", at positions 899 to 1397 of the family's 1533-position model. The record is from RNAcentral.